Molecule: long non-coding RNA, 356 nt
Organism: Sander lucioperca (pikeperch)
Lineage: Eukaryota; Metazoa; Chordata; Actinopteri; Perciformes; Percidae
Exons: 2
Source: RefSeq, a predicted model, not a curated record
ACUACGCACUAUAGCUUUAAUUUCCAACUGUGACAACUGAAAUGAUUUGUCGUCUCUUCUUGUUUCAGCCAAACUCCCUCCACAAUCUCCUCACAACAUCUCUACGCACUCUAUGUCAACGUUCAUGAACUUCUGAUUUACAAACACAUCCUACACACAGUGAGUUACUUCAAAUGGGACGGUAAGCAGUAAAUGCUGUGACGUGAACUAAUCACAUCUCCAGUUAAACAACAUCUGAAAUGAUAAGCUUCUACAACAAACCUUUAUAUUAAAUAUCCUAAAAAACUUACUUUAGAAAUCUUGAGUAUAAAUAUAACAUGAAAUAGUCAUGAAGCACAAAGCAAAAAAGAAAAAUG